This 302-nucleotide long non-coding RNA is filed under the name Prunus persica (peach). RNAcentral's name for it is "long non-coding RNA (PPER_LNC003538)". Lineage: Eukaryota; Viridiplantae; Streptophyta; Magnoliopsida; Rosales; Rosaceae. The record is from RNAcentral.
UUUAUGAUUGGUUUGUUAUGUUCAGUUUUGUAAAGUUGAAUUUGCUAAACGCUUUGGAAAUUAUUUGAGUUUGCUUUGCAGGUAGAUUUCUGGGUUUGAGCCUUUUUCAGGGGAGACUCUACCAGUUUUCCGGUAGAAGUCAAACCCUAAAGCAGUUUUUGGAUUAGGGCAAAAAGGAUACUUUUAGUCAUUUGUGCUCGACCCCUACCAGGUGUUGGACACGCACGGGUUUUGACAUGGAUUCCAAAGUAGAAUUUGGGUUGAGUCCUUUCAAUUACUGUACACUAGAGGUACUAAGUUCG